Molecule: ribosomal RNA, 547 nt
Filed under: uncultured bacterium
Lineage: Bacteria
Description: bacterial SSU rRNA
Rfam family: Bacterial small subunit ribosomal RNA
Source: RNAcentral
UAGGGAAUUUUUCACAAUGAGCGAAAGCUUGAUGGAGCAAUGCCGCGUGAACGAUGAAGGUCUUUAAGAUUGUAAAGUUCUUUUAUUUGGGAAGAAUGACUUUAGCAGGUAAUGGCCAGAGUUUGACUGUACCAUUUUGAAUAAGUGACGACUAACUAUGUGCCAGCAGUCGCGGUAAUACAUAGGUCGCAAGCGUUAUCCGGAUUUAUUGGGCGUAAAGCAAGCGCAGGCGGAUUGAAAAGUCUGGUGUUAAAGGCAGCUGCUUAACAGUUGUAUGCAUUGGAAACUAUUAAUCUAGAGUGUGGUAGGGAGUUUUGGAAUUUCAUGUGGAGCGGUGAAAUGCGUAGAUAUAUGAAGGAACACCAGUGGCGAAGGCGAAAACUUAGGCCAUUACUGACGCUUAGGCUUGAAAGUGUGGGGAGCAAAUAGGAUUAGAUACCCUAGUAGUCCACACCGUAAACGAUAGAUACUAGCUGUCGGGGCGAUCCCCUCGGUAGUGAAGUUAACACAUUAAGUAUCUCGCCUGGGUAGUACAUUCGCAAGAAUG